RNAcentral lists this ribosomal RNA (1477 nucleotides) under Lactobacillus helveticus. RNAcentral's name for it is "bacterial SSU rRNA". It matches the Rfam family "Bacterial small subunit ribosomal RNA". Lineage: Bacteria; Bacillati; Bacillota; Bacilli; Lactobacillales; Lactobacillaceae. The record is from RNAcentral.
CGCUGGCGGCGUGCCUAAUACAUGCAAGUCGAGCGAGCAGAACCAGCAGAUUUACUUCGGUAAUGACGCUGGGGACGCGAGCGGCGGAUGGGUGAGUAACACGUGGGGAACCUGCCCCAUAGUCUGGGAUACCACUUGGAAACAGGUGCUAAUACCGGAUAAGAAAGCAGAUCGCAUGAUCAGCUUAUAAAAGGCGGCGUAAGCUGUCGCUAUGGGAUGGCCCCGCGGUGCAUUAGCUAGUUGGUAAGGCAACGGCUUACCAAGGCAAUGAUGCAUAGCCGAGUUGAGAGACUGAACGGCCACAUUGGGACUGAGACACGGCCCAAACUCCUACGGGAGGCAGCAGUAGGGAAUCUUCCACAAUGGACGCAAGUCUGAUGGAGCAACGCCGCGUGAGUGAAGAAGGUUUUCGGAUCGUAAAGCUCUGUUGUUGGUGAAGAAGGAUAGAGGCAGUAACUGGCCUUUAUUUGACGGUAAUCAACCAGAAAGUCACGGCUAACUACGUGCCAGCAGCCGCGGUAAUACGUAGGUGGCAAGCGUUGUCCGGAUUUAUUGGGCGUAAAGCGAGCGCAGGCGGAAGAAUAAGUCUGAUGUGAAAGCCCUCGGCUUAACCGAGGAAYUGCAUCGGAAACUGUUUUUCUUGAGUGCAGAAGAGGAGAGUGGAACUCCAUGUGUAGCGGUGGAAUGCGUAGAUAUAUGGAAGAACACCAGUGGCGAAGGCGGCUCUCUGGUCUGCAACUGACGCUGAGGCUCGAAAGCAUGGGUAGCGAACAGGAUUAGAUACCCUGGUAGUCCAUGCCGUAAACGAUGAGUGCUAAGUGUUGGGAGGUUUCCGCCUCUCAGUGCUGCAGCUAACGCAUUAAGCACUCCGCCUGGGGAGUACGACCGCAAGGUUGAAACUCAAAGGAAUUGACGGGGGCCCGCACAAGCGGUGGAGCAUGUGGUUUAAUUCGAAGCAACGCGAAGAACCUUACCAGGUCUUGACAUCUAGUGCCAUCCUAAGAGAUUAGGAGUUCCCUUCGGGGACGCUAAGACAGGUGGUGCAUGGCUGUCGUCAGCUCGUGUCGUGAGAUGUUGGGUUAAGUCCCGCAACGAGCGCAACCCUUGUUAUUAGUUGCCAGCAUUAAGUUGGGCACUCUAAUGAGACUGCCGGUGACAAACCGGAGGAAGGUGGGGAUGACGUCAAGUCAUCAUGCCCCUUAUGACCUGGGCUACACACGUGCUACAAUGGGCAGUACAACGAGAAGCGAGCCUGCGAAGGCAAGCGAAUCUCUGAAAGCUGUUCUCAGUUCGGACUGCAGUCUGCAACUCGACUGCACGAAGCUGGAAUCGCUAGUAAUCGCGGAUCAGAACGCCGCGGUGAAUACGUUCCCGGGCCUUGUACACACCGCCCGUCACACCAUGGAAGUCUGCAAUGCCCAAAGCCGGUGGCCUAACCUUCGGGAAGGAGCCGUCUAAGGCAGGGCAGAUGACUGGG